AUGGUGGAUUUUGAGAAAGCGUACGAUAAGGUUAAAUGGCCAUUUCUACAGGAGGCCUUGCGGAUGAAAGGAUUCGAUCAGUCCUGGAGAAAGCAGGUAGAUUUUUUUACGCAAAAAGGCAGUGUCGGAAUCAAAGUGAAUGAUGACAUAUGUCAUUAUUUUCAGACACACAAGGGUCUGAGGCAAGGAGACCCGAUGUCACCUAUCUUGUUCAACAUAGUAGUGGACAUGUUGACAAUUCUAAUAGGAAGAGCUAAAGACAAUGGCCAGGUAGGCGGGCUCGUCCCGCAUUUAGUGGACGGAGAAGUGUCCAUUAUGCAGUACGCUGAUGAUGCUAUCAUCUUCAUGGAGCAUGAU
RNAcentral lists this ribosomal RNA (357 nucleotides) under Triticum aestivum (bread wheat). Its description in RNAcentral is "partial small subunit ribosomal RNA". Lineage: Eukaryota; Viridiplantae; Streptophyta; Magnoliopsida; Poales; Poaceae. The record is from RNAcentral.